This 515-nucleotide ribosomal RNA is filed under the name uncultured bacterium. Its description in RNAcentral is "partial 16S ribosomal RNA". It matches the Rfam family "Bacterial small subunit ribosomal RNA", at positions 28 to 523 of the family's 1533-position model. The record is from RNAcentral.
GACGAACGCUGGCGGCGUGCCUAAUACAUGCAAGUCGAGCGGAUGACGGAGGAGCUUGCUCCUCCUGAUUCAGCGGCGGACGGGUGAGUAACACGUGGGCAACCUGCCCUGUAGAUUGGGAUAACUCCGGGAAACCGGGGCUAAUACCGAAUAAUCCUUCGGACCUCAUGGUCCGAUGUUGAAAGACGGCAUCUCGCUGUCACUACAGGAUGGGCCCGCGGCGCAUUAGCUAGUUGGUGAGGUAACGGCUCACCAAGGCCACGAUGCGUAGCCGACCUGAGAGGGUGAUCGGCCACACUGGGACUGAGACACGGCCCAGACUCCUACGGGAGGCAGCAGUAGGGAAUCUUCCACAAUGGACGAAAGUCUGAUGGAGCAACGCCGCGUGAGUGAAGAAGGUUCUCGGAUCGUAAAACUCUGUUGUGAGGGAAGAACAAGUACCGGAGUAACUGCCGGUGCCUUGACGGUACCUCAUUAGAAAGCCACGGCUAACUGCGUGCCAGCCGCCGCGGUAA